Molecule: long non-coding RNA, 1072 nt
Organism: Astatotilapia calliptera (eastern happy)
Lineage: Eukaryota; Metazoa; Chordata; Actinopteri; Cichliformes; Cichlidae
Source: Ensembl
UGCUGAUGCUCUUUAAUACACUCGUAGUCCAUCUGUAACUGUGCAUUUUCUAAUUAAAGAAUGCAAUUAUUAAUGCAAUGAAUUUAAAUGUGUUCAGUAUUCAUUCACUCUUGUCUGUUAUAAAUCUUACGGUGAGUAAUUAGUCACUUUGUGACAGCUUUGCUCUUCUAGCAUGAAAUUAAUAAAACAGCACCAGACCAACUAAAUGUAAAGAAGCACAGAACAACUCUCAUAUGAUGGAGCGAGCACAUGAAACUCUGGAAGCCGAGAUAUUACUGGACAGACUACAGUAGAAGUACACAUUAGCUUUGAAGUGAUAGCUUUGACUGAGUUAAUUUGGUCAUUAUCUGGAAAACUGAGAAAGGCAAUGCAUGAUCCAGCUAGCCUGAUUUGUUUUUGACUUUAUUAUUACUCUGUGACAGAUUCAAGUGUUCAGUAUGGCACUGAUUUUUUUAAAAUCUUUAUCUUUUUUUCUUUUUUCUUUGUUAUAGAGAUUCCUGCACAUGACACUGCCCACUGCAUGCACUCUCAGUACAGAUUUAAUGCAGAGUGUGACUUUUAAACUGGAGCACCACUUGUACUGCUGCCAGCAUCAUGAUAACGUAGCUAGAAAUUGCCACAAGGUGGCAGUUUUGGACUGAACCUGAGAAAUCUCAGCUUUUAAUUUGUUCUCUUUGAGCAUACAGCUUUUUACAUUAGGAAGCUGCACUAAUACCUUUGGUUAAAGACAUAAAUAGUUUGGGUGAAGCAUAAAGUUAAAGUUAGUUGAUCUGAAAAGUCAGCCUCAACAUUUUAGUUUAAGCAAAGGAUGGGAAGAUCACACUCAGUCCAAUCAGAAACAAGCUAGAGGGCGAAACUUACUCUUUAAAUGAUCAGUAGGAAUCUCUUUAGAAAAGGAGCGCGAUCGUUUCAGUGGCAGAAGUUUUCAACAUUUAAUUGGCCGUGAGUCAUGUGGUCGUUUUCUCUGUUUGUGCUGACAGAUGUUAGAAAAAUUCAAACUCAUUCAAUUAUGUUUAAAAGGAUGUAUUAUAAUAACUUUGUUUCUUCUAAUGCAGCGCUCACUGAAAAACAG